GAAGGCAGCAGCAGCGGUGGCGACAUGAGCAGCGGGGCGGCGUCCGGGACAGGGCGGGGGCGGCCCCGGGGCGGGGGACCUGGGCCCGGGGACCCCCCGCCCAGCGAGACACACAAGCUGGUGGUCGUGGGCGGCGGCGGCGUGGGCAAGAGCGCGCUGACCAUCCAGUUCAUCCAGUCCUACUUCGUGUCUGACUACGACCCCACUAUUGAGGACUCCUACACGAAGAUCUGCAGUGUGGAUGGCAUCCCAGCCCGGCUGGACAGUGAGGGCGGCAAGGAUGGAUGAUGGAUGGGGGUGGUGUCAGUGGGGGCUGAGGGCUCUUGGGGGUGACUGGGGGGAGCCUGGUCCCCACGAUGGCCCCUCUGUCUCUGCAGUCCUGGACACCGCGGGCCAGGAAGAGUUCGGGGCCAUGAGAGAGCAGUACAUGCGUGCUGGCCACGGCUUCCUGCUGGUGUUCGCCAUUAACGACCGGCAGAGUUUCAACGAGGUGGGCAAGCUCUUCACGCAGAUUCUGCGGGUCAAGGACCGCGACGACUUCCCCGUUGUGUUGGUCGGGAACAAGGCAGAUCUGGAGUCACAGCGCCAGGUCCCCCGAUCAGAAGCCUCUGCCUUCGGCGCCUCCCACCA
RNAcentral lists this small RNA (630 nucleotides) under Pan troglodytes (chimpanzee). Its description in RNAcentral is "retained intron". Lineage: Eukaryota; Metazoa; Chordata; Mammalia; Primates; Hominidae. The record is from RNAcentral.